This 952-nucleotide long non-coding RNA is filed under the name Malus domestica (apple). RNAcentral describes it as "long non-coding RNA (MDOM_LNC002587)". Lineage: Eukaryota; Viridiplantae; Streptophyta; Magnoliopsida; Rosales; Rosaceae. The record is from RNAcentral.
AAAUCAGAAGCCUACAAUAGGUACCCAAAUAGGUACUCCAGUAGGAGACACCUCAAAUAUAACAAAUUCAAAAAUAGGAGUUUUGAAACAAAUAGAUUUUACGAGAAACCCAAGUUCAACAAGUGGAAGAGGAAACUCUCAGAAAAAUUCCACUCUAAAAACUAAGAACAAAAAGGGAAUUGCUACAAAUGUGGUAAAUUCGGUCAUUAUGCAAAUAAAUGUAGAGUUAAGAAAACAAUCAACCAAUUGAAAAUCUCUGAAUAAGAGAAAACCUAGCUAAUCCAAGUCUUAGAAUUAAGAGACAUAGACCAUAGUCAAUCCAAAGAUGAUUUAGGUUCUAAUUCGUCUUCUUCCAGUAAUUAUUCAGGUAGUCUUUCAUUCCCCUACAUUAAGAUAGGGUGUACAUAUGCUUGUUGUAAAAAGAUUCCAGUCCUUAAUAAACAAGAAGAACAAGAGGAUCUUCUUAUUGAGUUAAUCAAUAAAGUAGAUGACCCGGAGUAAAAAUCAUUUUAUUUAAAAAAGUUUAAGAAGCUAGUCUCCCAAGAAGAAGCCAGUACUAGUCAACCACAAGUAACCCCAAAAAUUUGUCUUAGCACAACUCUAGAAAGGUUUAAUAAGGCUAAGAAAGAAAUUACGGUCAAAGACCUACAAAGAGAAGUCAACAAAAUUAAGGAAGAAAUUAAGUCCUUAAAAUCUGAAAACAUAGAAAUUCACUCACAUCUCAUUGGUAUCUAAACACAAGCACUCCUUAGCAAUAAUGAUGAAGAACAAAAUAGUUCUUCCUCAAACCAAGAAUCAGAAUCCAAGUCCAUAGAAAAUCCAACAGAAAACCUAGUUUUAGGAUUACUACAAAAAAUUAGGAUCCAAAAAUGGUAUUUAUUGGUACUAUAUUAUAUUGGGCCUCGUUAUUUGGGCUUCUAGACAUUGAGCUCAUGAUUUAUGUAAAAGGGGA